This 70-nucleotide transfer RNA is filed under the name Carinotetraodon travancoricus. RNAcentral's name for it is "tRNA-Pro". It matches the Rfam family "tRNA". Rfam says of the family: Transfer RNA (tRNA) molecules are approximately 80 nucleotides in length. The record is from RNAcentral. Lineage: Eukaryota; Metazoa; Chordata; Actinopteri; Tetraodontiformes; Tetraodontidae.
CAAAAGGUAGUUCAACAAAGAACACCGGCUUUGGGAGCCGGCGGCGGAGGUUGGAGUCCUUCCUUUUUGA